RNAcentral lists this unclassified non-coding RNA (2899 nucleotides) under Daphnia pulex (common water flea). Its description in RNAcentral is "wD repeat and FYVE domain-containing protein 3-like, transcript variant X2". The record is from RNAcentral. Lineage: Eukaryota; Metazoa; Arthropoda; Branchiopoda; Diplostraca; Daphniidae.
CCAUUGUGCCAUAACAAAAUCGUCUGCUGCUGUUCAUUUGUUUUCUGUUCGCAUCGGUUCGCAUGCUGUUUUUCGUUGAAACCGAACACGCCGACUCGGCGUGAAAACUUGUUAAUUGCAAAUCAAAUUUUUGAAAAAAAUUCGUGAAUAGGCCUACCAAAUAACAAAAAGUGCGUUAUUAUGAAAUCAAUUGUUGCUUGAAUCUGGACCUGGUUCAACAUGGAACUUCAACUUCAGUAAAUGAAACUAGAUGGAGAAAAAGUUUGGGGAUCACACUUGGAACAACAGGAAAUACUAGAUGGACAAUUUCCACUUUCAGCUUUCCAAUUUUGUCGAACAGCAUUAUUCUCUUUGCCGCUAGUCAAUCAACUGUGAUCCAGUGUUCCACAUUUGACUUCUCAGGAUGUUUCCCAUUGCCAAUACUGCCAACCUUGCUGCAGUUCCCGAGUGGUAAGCUGUGGGUAUAGACACCACCGACAUCAAAGAUGAUGGGCCGCUUACAACAGAAUUGAGCUCAAGUCCUCAUCAUAUUUUCUCUUAGUUUGUUGUUUGGCACUGCCAACCAACUGCAUCAGUUUCCACAGUUUUUUUACAGGGUAUCUGCUUUGAAGAUGGCCAACGUCAAAUUUCUUUUCAUUAAUCCAAUGAACAAUACUGGUGGAUUUUCGAAUGGACGUGACCGACAGCAUCCGACCGUUCAUCCCUGGCAGGAGGAUCAGGUGGAUCUGGCCUAGAAGCCGGAAGCCCAUCAUACGCUGGUUGAGAGUGACGUCUGUGACGAGUUGGUGGCGGCCAAGACGAUUCUGUCGACUUAGUAGCUGCCGCUGUUGUUGCGGCCCAUCAAACGAGACGUCCAGCGGGUGAACCAGCGACGAUGGCCGAUAUUGACGAGAAAGUGAAUUGAUCGGAUCCAGCAUCCCGGCUGCCCACGGCUACUUGGACUCGGCCAGCCAGUCGGUGACCCAGCGUUGGUUGAGGGGUGAGCUGUCCAACUUCCAGUAUCUGAUGCACCUCAACACGCUGGCCGGCCGCACCUACAACGAUCUGAUGCAGUACCCGUUUUCCCCUGGGUCCUGGCCGAUUACGAUUCGCCCGAGCUGGACCUCUCGCAGCCGUCCACCUUCCGCGACCUGUCCAAGCCGAUGGGAGCCCAGACGUCUGACCGGCUGCAGCAGUUCCGCAAGCGCUACAAGGAGUGGGACGACCUGCACAACGAGACGGGCCCCUACCACUACGGCACCCACUACUCGAACUCGUCGGCCAUGAUCGUCUGCUCCUAUCUGGUCCGGCUGGAGCCCUUCACCCAGCAGUUCCUUCAGCUGCAGGGCGGACACUUUGAUUUGGCCGACCGGCUGUUCCACUCGAUCAGGGAGGCCUGGUGGUCGGCCGCCCAGCUCAAUAUGGCCGACGUCAAGGAGCUGAUCCCCGAGUUCUUUUACCUGCCCGACUUUUUGGUCAACGCCAACCAGUUUGACCUGGGCUGCAAGCAGAGCGGCGUGGCCCUGGACGAUGUCGUCCUGCCGCCCUGGGCCAAGAACGACCCGCGCGAGUUCAUCCGGGCCGCCCUGGAGAGCGACUACGUCUCUCAGCACCUGCACGAGUGGAUCGACCUCAUCUUCGGCUACAAGCAGCAAGGGCCGGCGGCCGUCGAGUCCGUCAACCUCUUCCACCCGCUCUUCUACGAGGGCAACGUGGACAUUGACAGCAUCGAGGAUCCGCUCAAGAAGAACGACGUCAUCGGAUUCAUCAACAAUUUCGGCCAGACGCCCAAGCAGCUUCAAGAAGCCGCACCCUCCAGCAAGAAGGUGGUUGGGGCCGGCAGUCGCAUCAGCGGACUGGAAAUGGCCCUGCCUCUGGCCGGACAGGCUGCCAUGCAGAUCCUGCCUCUGCUGCCGUCGUUGGCUUCCGGCUUCCAUUCGGCGGCCCUUGGCUCCACCUUUGGUCCAUCAACGGCGACCCGCUGGCCAGCGGGUUUCUCCAUCUGUUUCUCCAUCUUCCGGUUGCAGGUUUCAAGUGGCAGAGGCAAUUGAUUUUCCGGACGAAAUUGACGAUGCACACGGCCUACGAUCGCCAAGACAACAGCGAACCUGCGUCCGUCACAUCUCUGGCCAUUUCCAAGGACAAUCGAACUGUAUUGGUUGGCGACGCCCGCGGUCGCAUCCAUUCGUGGAGCGUGACGGACGUGAUGGGCCGCUCGGUGGCCGACCAUUGGCUCCGCGACGACAUUUUCGAAACGUGCACUAAAUGCCGCGUGAAAUUCUCGUUGACUGAACGGCGACAUCACUGCCGCAACUGCGGACACGUCUUUUGCUCCCGUUGCAGUCGCUACGAGUCUGAAAUUAUGCAAUUGAGGAUCCGCCGGCCGGUGCGGGUGUGUCAGGAGUGCUACGCUUCUUUAAAAAUGUCCAGCGAUGGAACUUCUUAAUUUCGACCGACAAAAGAUGAAGAAAUGUUUGACUUAAACAAAAAAGAAAAUGGGCUAAUCUGUCAGAGAGUAGUGAAUCAAUGUCCAGUUAUGUAACGACACACCCGCCCUUUGGCCCAAUGGAUCAGGGGGCGGGGCAAUUUAUAUCACAGGUGUGUAGAUGAUUUCUAAAAAAUUUGGUUUCUAAAAAACGACAGUCGUGUUUUAGCAGAUGAUGUUUAUACAAUCGACAUUCCAAUCGGCCCCUUUUAUUACCCUCCGGUUUGCACACAAUCACAUGAACACAAAGGAUUGAAGAAAAAGAACUGAAGUAGCUGUGCUGGUGUUCACCUGAAAUUGCUGUGCCACAAGAGUUGCAGAUAGUGUUUGGUUCCUCAUAGAAGGUUUAUUUAAAGAGUCUGGAGAUGAUCAGCCACUUCUGCCUUUAACUUAUGUAAAACUUCAAAGUUGUAAGAAAUAUACAAGUCAAGUGCU